UGAACGCUAGCUACAGGCUUAACACAUGCAAGUCGAGGGGCAGCAUCAUCAAAGCUUGCUUUGAUGGAUGGCGACCGGCGCACGGGUGAGUAACACGUAUCCAACCUGCCGACAACACUGGGAUAGCCUUUCGAAAGAAAGAUUAAUACCGGAUGGCAUAGUUUUUCCGCAUGGGAUAAUUAUUAAAGAAUUUCGGUUGUCGAUGGGGAUGCGUUCCAUUAGGCAGUUGGCGGGGUAACGGCCCACCAAACCAACGAUGGAUAGGGGUUCUGAGAGGAAGGUCCCCCACAUUGGAACUGAGACACGGUCCAAACUCCUACGGGAGGCAGCAGUGAGGAAUAUUGGUCAAUGGACGAGAGUCUGAACCAGCCAAGUAGCGUGAAGGAUGACUGCCCUAUGGGUUGUAAACUUCUUUUAUACGGGAAUAAAGUUAGCCACGUGUGGCUUUUUGUAUGUACCGUAUGAAUAAGGAUCGGCUAACUCCGUGCCAGCAGCCGCGGUAAUACGGAGGAUCCGAGCGUUAUCCGGAUUUAUUGGGUUUAAAGGGAGCGUAGGCGGGUUGUUAAGUCAGUUGUGAAAGUUUGCGGCUCAACCGUAAAAUUGCAGUUGAUACUGGCGACCUUGAGUGCAACAGAGGUAGGCGGAAUUCGUGGUGUAGCGGUGAAAUGCUUAGAUAUCACGAAGAACUCCGAUUGCGAAGGCAGCUUACUGGAUUGUAACUGACGCUGAUGCUCGAAAGUGUGGGUAUCAAACAGGAUUAGAUACCCUGGUAGUCCACACAGUAAACGAUGAAUACUCGCUGUUGGCGAUAUACGGUCAGCGGCCAAGCGAAAGCAUUAAGUAUUCCACCUGGGGAGUACGCCGGCAACGGUGAAACUCAAAGGAAUUGACGGGGGCCCGCACAAGCGGAGGAACAUGUGGUUUAAUUCGAUGAUACGCGAGGAACCUUACCCGGGCUUAAAUUGCAACUGACUGAACCGGAAACGGUUCUUUCUUCGGACAGUUGUGAAGGUGCUGCAUGGUUGUCGUCAGCUCGUGCCGUGAGGUGUCGGCUUAAGUGCCAUAACGAGCGCAACCCUUAUCGAUAGUUACUAGCAGGUCAUGCUGAGGACUCUAUUGAGACUGCCGUCGUAAGAUGUGAGGAAGGUGGGGAUGACGUCAAAUCAGCACGGCCCUUACGUCCGGGGCUACACACGUGUUACAAUGGGGGGUACAGAAGGCAGCUACACGGCGACGUGGUGCUAAUCCCGAAAGCCUCUCUCAGUUCGGAUUGGAGUCUGCAACCCGACUCCAUGAAGCUGGAUUCGCUAGUAAUCGCGCAUCAGCCACGGCGCGGUGAAUACGUUCCCGGGCCUUGUACACACCGCCCGUCAAGCCAUGAAAGCCGGGGGUACCUGAAGUACGUAACCGCGAGGAGCGUCCUAGGGUAAAACUGGUGAUUGGGG
RNAcentral lists this ribosomal RNA (1445 nucleotides) under uncultured organism. RNAcentral describes it as "SSU rRNA". It matches the Rfam family "Bacterial small subunit ribosomal RNA". The record is from RNAcentral.